RNAcentral lists this ribosomal RNA (383 nucleotides) under uncultured eukaryote. RNAcentral's name for it is "partial 18S ribosomal RNA". It matches the Rfam family "Eukaryotic small subunit ribosomal RNA", at positions 592 to 976 of the family's 1831-position model. The record is from RNAcentral.
CAAUAGCGUAUAUUAAAGUUGUUGCAGUUAAAAAGCUCGUAGUUGGAUUUCUGGUGGGAGCGAUCGGUCUGGCGCUUAGCGCGAGUACUUGCAUCGUCUCCGGCCAUCCUUGGGGAGAGUCUGUCUGGCAUUAAGUUGUCGGGCAGAGGAUCCUCAUCGUUUACUGUGAAAAAAUUAGAGUGUUCAAAGCAGGCUUAUGCCGUUGAAUAUAUUAGCAUGGAAUAAUAAGAUAGGACUUUGGUACUAUUUUGUUGGUUUGCGCACCAAAGUAAUGAUUAAUAGGGACAGUUGGGGGCAUUCGUAUUCCGUUGUCAGAGGUGAAAUUCUUGGAUUUACGGAAGACGAACUACUGCGAAAGCAUUUACCAAGGAUGUUUUCAUUAA